CAGCAACAAAGAGAAAGUGAAAGAAACUCUUUUGUUAUAGUGUUCUCUUUGGUUAUAACCAUUUUCAAAUUUCUAGCCAUUCUGUACUGUGUUGUUUGUGUUUGCUGACAGUUUCAAUGAAGUUGGUUGUUGCCGGUUGCCGUGUGGCGACAUUGGUGAAGGAAGGGACAACAAAGCUUUUUGGGGACGAAGCUUUCUAUCAUAAAAAUACGCCACAAUGCAUCAGACAAACUCUACAGUUCUUGUGCCAAUAUAUGGGUGACCCCCCUGACUAAAUCACAUCCAACAUAACCACUCUGCUCUUAAAUCACAAUCAAUUAUGUUUGUUGUGGGAUUUUGAUGUUGGCAAGCCAUAACUAGCUAUCAAAAUUUGACAAGCAAUUUGAAACUGAAGUAGGUCAAUCACUUAUUGCUUAGCCUACCAACAAGCCCAUUGUUUUGUUGGCCCAAGAUAAUGGACCCAUGAUCUUUGGGUUAUACUCUUCUUCCAGGGAUGGACAUGGAACAUGGAAAGAAUCUAUACCAGUAUCUUAUUUGGUCC
Molecule: long non-coding RNA, 541 nt
Organism: Hevea brasiliensis (rubber tree)
Lineage: Eukaryota; Viridiplantae; Streptophyta; Magnoliopsida; Malpighiales; Euphorbiaceae
Exons: 2
Source: RefSeq, a predicted model, not a curated record